GAUGAACGCUGGCGGCGUGCCUAAUACAUGCAAGUCGAGCGAACAGACGAGGAGCUUGCUCCUCUGAUGUUAGCGGCGGACGGGUGAGUAACACGUGGAUAACCUACCUAUAAGACUGGGAUAACUUCGGGAAACCGGAGCUAAUACCGGAUAACAUGUUGAACCGCAUGGUUCAACAGUGAAAGACGGUCUUGCUGUCACUUAUAGAUGGAUCCGCGCCGCAUUAGCUAGUUGGUAAGGUAACGGCUUACCAAGGCAACGAUGCGUAGCCGACCUGAGAGGGUGAUCGGCCACACUGGAACUGAGACACGGUCCAGACUCCUACGGGAGGCAGCAGUAGGGAAUCUUCCGCAAGGGGCGAAAGCCUGACGGAGCAACGCCGCGUGAGUGAAGAAGGGCUGCGGAUCGUAAAACUCUGUUAUUAGGGAAGAACAAAUGUGUAAGUAACUAUGCACGUCUUGACGGUACCUAAUCAGAAAGCCACGGCUAACUACGU
RNAcentral lists this ribosomal RNA (496 nucleotides) under uncultured bacterium. Its description in RNAcentral is "partial 16S ribosomal RNA". It matches the Rfam family "Bacterial small subunit ribosomal RNA", at positions 28 to 506 of the family's 1533-position model. The record is from RNAcentral.